UCUCUUGCGGUUUUGUCUGAGGUGAAAUGCUUUUCACGCUCAUCUCGAUUUCCUCUUUCUGCAGGUCCCCCCCUUGCCAAAAGAGACCAGUCCUUCAGCAUGUGUCCCAUAAUUUCACUUCCUCCCAACUACAGACCAAGGAACUCAACCCCUCUUUGUGUUGUGAGCCUCUUCAGAUGACCUUUAGAACAGCACAGUCUACAAAUAGACCCUUACCCACAAACAGCUGCUUCUGCUGAGCUCUAUUCAAUACCACAGAAUACACAGAUGUACCCAAAAGUGGUUACGAUCAGUGCAGCAAUGUUUUAGGUUAAUAAAUGCCAUUGAGUGGUAUUUGAUA
Long non-coding RNA from Anguilla anguilla (European eel), 340 nucleotides. RefSeq lists it as uncharacterized. The record is from RefSeq and is a predicted model, not a curated record. NCBI's taxonomy places the organism in Eukaryota, Metazoa, Chordata, Actinopteri, Anguilliformes, Anguillidae. The transcript has 2 exons.